RNAcentral lists this ribosomal RNA (386 nucleotides) under Oreohelix strigosa depressa. Its description in RNAcentral is "partial large subunit ribosomal RNA". It matches the Rfam family "Archaeal large subunit ribosomal RNA", at positions 1906 to 2675 of the family's 2987-position model. The record is from RNAcentral. Lineage: Eukaryota; Metazoa; Mollusca; Gastropoda; Stylommatophora; Oreohelicidae.
CAUAGCCUUAUGUAAAUAUAAGGUGGUUUCUGCUCAAUGAUUUAAAUAGCCGCAGUACCCUGACUGUGCAAAGGUAGCAUAAUAAAUUGUCCUUUAAUUGAGGUCAUGGAUGAAGGAAAAAUGGGGAAUCUGUCUUCUUCAUAUUUUUUAAAUUUACUUAUUAGGUGCAAAUUCCUAUAUGAAUUGAAAGACAAGAAGACCCUAAGAGUUUUUUAUAAUUUUGUUGGGGCAACAUAUUAACAUAAAACUUAAUUUUUAGCGAUAUAUAACAGUAAUAAGAAAACUACCUUAGGGAUAACAGCAUAAAUUAAGAUUGUGACCUCGAUGUUGGAUUAGGUAAUUUAAAUCAAAAAUGUAAAAAGUUCUGUUCGAACCCUACGUGAUCU